This 463-nucleotide ribosomal RNA is filed under the name uncultured bacterium. Its description in RNAcentral is "partial 16S ribosomal RNA". It matches the Rfam family "Bacterial small subunit ribosomal RNA", at positions 28 to 507 of the family's 1533-position model. The record is from RNAcentral.
GGUGAACGCUGACAGAAUGCUUAACACAUGCAAGUCGAUGGGGAAGUGGUGCUUGCACCAUGGCAACCAUGGCGGACGGGUGAGUAACGCGUAAGGGACUUACCUGCAGGACUGGGAUAACAGGGGGAAACUCCUGACAAGACCGGAUAAUGUCAUGGAGCUGCAUGGCUUUAUGAUGAAAGGAGACGCCUGCGGAGAGCCUUGCGUCCUAUUAGCUAGUUGGUGAGGUAAUGGCUCACCAAGGCGAAGAUAGGUAGCCGGCCUGAGAGGGUGGACGGCCACAAGGGGACUGAGAUACGGCCCUUACUCCUACGGGAGGCAGCAGUGGGGAAUAUUGGACAAUGGGGGCAACCCUGAUCCAGCAAUUCUGUGUGCACGAAGAAGGUUUUCGGAUUGUAAAGUGCUUUCAGCAGGGAAGAAGUAAGUGACGGUACCUGCAGAAGAAGCGACGGCUAAAUACGUG